This 53-nucleotide ribosomal RNA is filed under the name Clusia sp. HG 402aa. RNAcentral describes it as "partial 28S ribosomal RNA". The record is from RNAcentral. Lineage: Eukaryota; Viridiplantae; Streptophyta; Magnoliopsida; Malpighiales; Clusiaceae.
GACCCAGGUCAGGCGGGACUCCCGCUGAGUUUAGCAUAUCAAUAAGCGGAGGA